UACAGAGGUCUCAAGCGUUGUUCGGAUUCAUUGGGCGUAAAGGGUGCGUAGGCGGCGCGGUAAGUCGGGUGUGAAAUCUUGGAGCUUAACUCCGAAACUGCAUUCGAUACUGCCGUGCUUGAGGACUGGAGAGGAGACUGGAAUUUACGGUGUAGCGGUGAAAUGCGUAGAUAUCGUAAGGAAGACCAGUGGCGAAGGCGGGUCUCUGGACAGUUCCUGACGCUGAGGCACGAAAGCUAGGGGAGCAAACAGG
This 253-nucleotide ribosomal RNA is filed under the name uncultured bacterium. RNAcentral describes it as "partial 16S ribosomal RNA". It matches the Rfam family "Bacterial small subunit ribosomal RNA", at positions 524 to 776 of the family's 1533-position model. The record is from RNAcentral.